Molecule: non-coding RNA, 269 nt
Filed under: Sporosarcina sp.
Lineage: Bacteria; Bacillati; Bacillota; Bacilli; Caryophanales; Caryophanaceae
Description: T-box sequence
Rfam family: T-box leader
About the family: Uncharged tRNA acts as the effector for transcription antitermination of genes in the T-box leader family.
Source: RNAcentral
UCAACGACAUUGAAGAGAAAAGUAGGAUUACUUAUUUUGUACAGAAAGCUUCGGGUGCUGAGAAGAAGCAAAAGUAAUAAUCUGAAAAAUGGUCUCUGAGUCUCGCGCUGAACGUUUUUGUAACGAGUAGGUUAGCGACGAGUGUUGGCUACUCGUUAUCAAAGCCACAGUAUAAAGGGAGGCUUUACUAGUCCCGUGUACUUGAUGAGGCCGUUUGCGCGAGCGGGCGGUGAAGUAAGGUGGAACCACGUGAAUACCACGUCCUUAUC